Sinocyclocheilus rhinocerous is the source of this 377-nucleotide long non-coding RNA. RefSeq lists it as uncharacterized. The transcript is spliced from 3 exons. The record is from RefSeq and is a predicted model, not a curated record. Lineage: Eukaryota; Metazoa; Chordata; Actinopteri; Cypriniformes; Cyprinidae.
GUGAGGACAAAACAAACGAACUCUGAGUUAAUAAAAUAGAAUAGAGAGGGAGAGAGUGUGUUUUUGCGAUGGAAUCGACUGCAAUGAACUUUCACUGGAAACUCUGAAGCGAAAAAUACCUGGGUAAAAAUAGCCUCGGUUUCUCUGCUCUGAUGGUCCGGAGCGCCGCUGAUCUGCUGCCAUUACCGGAGGAGCGUCACAGCGCGAGCUGAUCUCCAGCCCAUUACCGGUGUGUGUGUGUGUGUGUGUGUGUGUGUGUCAGAUGAGCUCAUCAUGGGUGAAGCGUUCACACACACGCAGCGCUGCGGGAAACAUCUGCGACUGCUGCUCUUCAUACUGCUGCCAUGUGUGUGUGUCCUCAUCUGUGUGUGUGUGCU